This 189-nucleotide ribosomal RNA is filed under the name uncultured archaeon. RNAcentral describes it as "partial 16S ribosomal RNA". It matches the Rfam family "Archaeal small subunit ribosomal RNA", at positions 459 to 647 of the family's 1478-position model. The record is from RNAcentral.
CAGCCGCCGCGGUAAUACCGGCGGCUCGAGUGGUGGCCACUUUUAUUGGGCUUAAAGCGUUCGUAGCUGGGUUGUUAAGUCUCUUGGGAAAUCUGACGGCUCAACCGUCAGGCGUCCAAGGGAUACUGGCAAUCUUGGAACCGGGAGAGGUGAGGGGUACUUCGGGGGUAGGAGUGAAAUCCUGUAAUC